This 258-nucleotide unclassified non-coding RNA is filed under the name Basidiomycota sp. Its description in RNAcentral is "partial contains small subunit ribosomal RNA, internal transcribed spacer 1, and 5.8S ribosomal RNA". The stretch from base 1 to 47 matches the Rfam family "Eukaryotic small subunit ribosomal RNA", at positions 1785 to 1831 of the family's 1831-position model. The record is from RNAcentral. Lineage: Eukaryota; Fungi; Basidiomycota.
AAAGUCGUAACAAGGUUUCCGUAGGUGAACCUGCGGAAGGAUCAUUAUUGAAAUCCUUUGGAUGUUGCUGGCCUUUUUGGGGCAAGUGCACUCUGCCUUUUCAUUUCACCUGUGAACUCAUUGUAGGCCCAGAUUGUCACAAAUCUGUGUCUAUGUUAUUUUAAACAUACACAAGUCUUAUCAGAAUGUCUUUUAAAUGCAAGACCUUUAGUGGUCAAAAAUUUAAUACAACUUUCAACAAUGGAUCUCUUGGUUCUC